Molecule: non-coding RNA, 116 nt
Organism: Triticum urartu
Lineage: Eukaryota; Viridiplantae; Streptophyta; Magnoliopsida; Poales; Poaceae
Source: Rfam
CAAGUACUCCCUCCGUCCGGAAUUACUUGUUUCGGAAAUAAAUGUAUCUAGAACUAAAAUACAUCUAGAUACAUCUAUUUUUUAUGACAAGUAAUUCCGAACGGAGGGAGUAGAGU